This 188-nucleotide long non-coding RNA is filed under the name dengue virus type 2. RNAcentral's name for it is "Dengue virus 2 partial sfRNA1". Lineage: Riboviria; Orthornavirae; Kitrinoviricota; Flasuviricetes; Amarillovirales; Flaviviridae. The record is from RNAcentral.
UAGAAGUCAGGUCGGAUUAAGCCAUAGUACGGAAAAAACUAUGCUACCUGUGAGCCCCGUCCAAGGACGUUAAAAGAAGUCAGGCCACUACAAGUGCCAUAGCUUGAGCCAACUAUGGCAGCCUGUAGCUCCACCUGGGAAGGUGUAAAAAAUCUGGGAGGCCACAAACCAUGGAAGCUGUACGCAUG